RNAcentral lists this ribosomal RNA (771 nucleotides) under Triticum aestivum (bread wheat). Its description in RNAcentral is "partial small subunit ribosomal RNA". Lineage: Eukaryota; Viridiplantae; Streptophyta; Magnoliopsida; Poales; Poaceae. The record is from RNAcentral.
AGCAGCAGAAGAGUGAUGGUGCGCAAUGUGCUCAGCGCCAUGCCCACCUUCGCCCUCUCAGUGCUGCGGGUGCCAAAAAAACUGCUCAAAGAAAUAGACAAGUGUAGGAGGCGUUUCCUAUGGAAGCAGGACGAGGAAGCAACAGGGGCCAGCUGCAAGGUAAAUUGUCCAACAGUUUGUGCGCCAACUGAAAAGGGAGGGCUGGGGAUCCUGGACCUGCAAAGUUUCAGUCGAGCACUAUGGCUACGGUGGCUAUGGAUUGCCUGGAAGGACCAGGACAGACCAUGGGUUGGCACACCACCGCCUUGUGAAGACAUCGACAGAGCCUUGUUUGCUGCAGCAACAACGGUCACCAUUGGAGAUGGUACAACGAUGUCUUUCUGGCACUCAACUUGGGUCGGCCCGAAGACGCUUGCACAAAGCUACCCAGCCCUAUUCAAACACUCCAAGCGCAAAAACAGGACAGUUUCAGAAGCCCUACAAAAUGAUGCAUGGAUCAAUGACCUUGAGCACGGUGAUAUCAGCCAGAUACUGCCUGAAUUCCUGCAGCUGCACCGAAGGAUCAGAGAGGCAAACAUCCACUUAGAUGGAGUGUUGAGGGACCAAAUUUGGUGGAACAUGGAGGCAAAAGGGGAAUACACAACAAGUUCAGCUUACAAGAUGCAUUUUCAAGGUCGGCAAAAUUCAGUUUUUGAAAGCAUCAUUUGGAAGGCGUGGGCUCCAGGGAAGGUAAAUAUGUUCGGCUGGCUGCUGCUGCAGAAUUGUGUCUAG